AGCCACAUUCCCAUUUUUUCUCCUGGAUGAACAAUAUAUAUUUGUGAGUAUAUAAUUGGUGGAAAUCCUUUUCCGUCAUGUGACUUGUAGGUGUAGCUAUCGAUGAAAUAGACAAAAGCCACAUUGCAUGUCUCAGUUUGGUGCAACCAGAAGGCAAUAAUAAUUCCAUGUAGAUAAAGGGAUAGUUUGAUAAGAAGGUGGUAGCAAAAGGUAACAUAUUUCUGCCGUUCUGUAAUGCAUGACAUGAAAGCGAUAUGUUAUCUGACAGAGAAGCAGCUGUGGAUCAUGAUCCAAAUGCGAAGAAAACAAAAGAGCAUUCCUAGAUUAGCCUGGCACUACCCCCAUCAGUCACGCUCCACCUCUUAUUUGGAAGCAGCAAGAACUGUCAAUAGAAUAGUUGGGCAGUGGCGACAUACAGUGAUUACCCAUUCAUAUACUGAAGACAUGUCAGUGGCAUUCAUGGAUCCAGGAAUCAGUAGUAAUUGUCAUGAACUGGCAAAAAUAGUUGAGAGAAUGUCUCACCAAAUGCUGCCUGUGCAAGCUCA
This 545-nucleotide unclassified non-coding RNA is filed under the name Zea mays. Its description in RNAcentral is "misc RNA Zm00001eb132770". The record is from RNAcentral. Lineage: Eukaryota; Viridiplantae; Streptophyta; Magnoliopsida; Poales; Poaceae.